Small nucleolar RNA from Impatiens glandulifera, 92 nucleotides. RefSeq annotates it as small nucleolar RNA snoR26. Lineage: Eukaryota; Viridiplantae; Streptophyta; Magnoliopsida; Ericales; Balsaminaceae. The record is from RefSeq and is a predicted model, not a curated record. The transcript has a single exon.
UGAGCAUCAGUGAUGAUCUAAUCCUUUGUUAUCCUUGCACUUUGAUUGUCAGUGAAGAUAAAUUAUGGGAAAAAGUUCACUCUGAGAUGCUC